GGGAUUGUAGCUCAGUGGUAGAGUGUGUGCCUAACGUCUAGGAGUCUCUGGGUUAGAGUCCCAGCAUCCCCC
RNAcentral lists this transfer RNA (72 nucleotides) under Fukomys damarensis (Damara mole-rat). It matches the Rfam family "tRNA". Rfam says of the family: Transfer RNA (tRNA) molecules are approximately 80 nucleotides in length. Their secondary structure includes four short double-helical elements and three loops (D, anti-codon, and T loops). Lineage: Eukaryota; Metazoa; Chordata; Mammalia; Rodentia; Bathyergidae. The record is from Rfam by way of RNAcentral.